RNAcentral lists this ribosomal RNA (442 nucleotides) under uncultured bacterium. RNAcentral describes it as "partial 16S ribosomal RNA". It matches the Rfam family "Bacterial small subunit ribosomal RNA", at positions 338 to 795 of the family's 1533-position model. The record is from RNAcentral.
CCUACGGGUGACAGCAGUGGGGAAUAUUGGGCAAUGGGCGCAAGCCUGACCCAGCAAUGCCGCGUGAAGGAAGAAGGCUUUCGGGUUGUAAACUUCUUUGACAGGGGAAGAGCAGAAGACGGUACCCUGAAAACAAGCCACGGCUAACUACGUGCCAGCAGCCGCGGUAAUACGUAGGUGGCAAGCGUUGUCCGGAUUUACUGGGUGUAAAGGGCGUGUAGCCGGGAAGGCAAGUCAGAUGUGAAAUCUGGAGGCUCAACCUCCAAAUUGCAUUUGAAACUGUUUUUCUUGAGUACUGGAGAGGCAGACGGAAUUCCUGGGGGAGCGGGGAAAGGCUGAGAUAUAAGGAGGAACACCAGUGGCGAAGGCGGUCUGCUGGACAGCAACGGACGGUGAGGCGCGAAAGCGUGGGGAGCAAACAGGAUUAGAUACCCUUGUAGUC